UCCAUGUCAGUGGGGAAUGCUCACCUGGAGAUCAGACAUCCCUAGAUGGGGCUGGGGGCCCCCUGCACUCUUUCCUGCUGAUGUUGAGGUGGAGGGCCCAGCCCAGGAGAGGAUGCAUGGAUGUGGGUCCAGCCUUUUAGCCUGGCUCUUAGCUCACAAUCCCGAAGGCAGGGGAGGGGCUGAGGAGCCUUUGGAUAGAGGCACCGGGGCCUCAAUUUACAGAUCUCGCAGUGGGCGGCGAGGGGUGGGGCAUUGUGGACUCUCAAAGGAGGUACCUGCUUUCUUCUUCCCCUUGAACCUGGAUGGAGGCAUUAUUCACAGAGGAUUUCUGCGAGGUGCAGAGACCCCGCUGCUGAGUGCCUGGGGUUGGAGGUGGGCUGGGAGUGAGUUGAAGACUGUGAAAAGCAGGCUGGGGUCCACAUCAUGAAGAGCCCAGUGACUGUCAGCUCCAAGCAGGCAACACUGGAAUUCCUGAAUCAACCUCAGAUUGGCACGGCACCUCUGAAGACCGCUUCAACACCAACCUGACAUGAGACAGGAAAACAGUUCCUCUUGGAAAAUGACCCACCAACUUGCUGGGGGCAGAAGGCUCUUCCUUCUCCAGUGUUUUGACUUAAGGGAGGAAGAGCUGGAGGUGAAGGAAAGCACUAGCCAAUCCUUUGAAACAGAAUGUCAUUUGUCUCCUAAAGGAUUCUGGGAGCUUGGCCACCAGUGAAGUGACAUAAGAGGGAGGGCCUACUAGGAGGUCCUGAGUCUCCUAGGCACUGCCCUCAGGAGGGAGAUCGACGUGAAGACUGAAACAGGAUUCGAUGUUGUAAAAGCCUGGGCCUGACACCUGAAUCUCUAGCCCUCUGUUUGAAGAUGCGUCUGUUCUCCCACGCAUGCCCUGCUCUGAUUAGAUGUGACUAGAGAAUUCUCCCCAGAGCUGAGCUGCACCAGCACCAUGCCCUUGACCCUCUAAACCUGUGCACAAAAUAAACAUCACUCUAGGGUUAA
Molecule: long non-coding RNA, 996 nt
Organism: Peromyscus eremicus (cactus mouse)
Lineage: Eukaryota; Metazoa; Chordata; Mammalia; Rodentia; Cricetidae
Exons: 3
Source: RefSeq, a predicted model, not a curated record